UACGGAGGGUGCAAGCAUUAAUCGGAUUUAUUGGGCGUAAAGGGCGCGUAGGCGGAAAUGUAAGUCAGAUGUGAAAUUCCGGGGCUCAACCUCGGAGCUGCAUUUGAAACUACAUUCCUUGAGGGUAGGCGGAGGAAAUGGAAUUCCACAAGUAGCGGUGAAAUGCGUAGAUAUGUGGAAGAACACCGGUGGCGAAGGCGAUUUCCUAGCUUAUACCUGACGCUGAAGCGCGAAAGCAAGGGGAGCAAACAGG
Molecule: ribosomal RNA, 253 nt
Filed under: uncultured bacterium
Lineage: Bacteria
Description: partial 16S ribosomal RNA
Rfam family: Bacterial small subunit ribosomal RNA
Source: RNAcentral